UACGUAGGGGGCAAGCGUUGUCCGGAUUUAUUGGGCGUAAAGAGCGUGUAGGCGGCCAGACAGGUCCGUUGUGAAAACUCGAGGCUCAACCUCGAGAUGUCGAUGGAAACCGUCUGGCUAGAGUCCGGAAGAGGAGUGUGGAAUUCCUGGUGUAGCGGUGAAAUGCGCAGAUAUCAGGAAGAACACCUAUGGCGAAGGCAGCACUCUGGGACGGUACUGAAGCUGAGACGCGAAAGAGUGGGGAGCGAACAGG
Molecule: ribosomal RNA, 253 nt
Filed under: uncultured bacterium
Lineage: Bacteria
Description: partial 16S ribosomal RNA
Rfam family: Bacterial small subunit ribosomal RNA
Source: RNAcentral